CGAACGGAGCUUAGAGAGCUUGCUUUUUAAGCUUAGUGGCGAACGGGUGAGUAACGCGUGAGUAACCUGCCCUAGAGUGGGGGACAACAGUUGGAAACGACUGCUAAUACCGCAUAAGCCCACGGUACCGCAUGGUACUGAGGGAAAAGGAUUUAUUCGCUUUAGGAUGGACUCGCGUCCAAUUAGCUAGUUGGUGAGGUAACGGCCCACCAAGGCGACGAUUGGUAGCCGGACUGAGAGGUUGAACGGCCACAUUGGGACUGAGACACGGCCCAGACUCCUACGGGAGGCAGCAGUGGGGGAUAUUGCACAAUGGGGGAAACCCUGAUGCAGCGACGCCGCGUGGAGGAAGAAGGUUUUCGGAUUGUAAACUCCUGUCGUUAGGGACGAUAAUGACGGUACCUAACAAGAAAGCACCGGCUAACUACGUGCCAGCAGCCGCGGUAAAACGUAGGGUGCAAGCGUUGUCCGGAAUUACUGGGUGUAAAGGGAGCGCAGGCGGGAAGACAAGUUGGAAGUGAAAACCAUGGGCUCAACCCAUGAAUUGCUUUCAAAACUGUUUUUCUUGAGUAGUGCAGAGGUAGAUGGAAUUCCCGGUGUAGCGGUGGAAUGCGUAGAUAUCGGGAGGAACACCAGUGGCGAAGGCGGUCUACUGGGCACCAACUGACGCUG
RNAcentral lists this ribosomal RNA (672 nucleotides) under uncultured Lachnospiraceae bacterium. RNAcentral describes it as "bacterial SSU rRNA". It matches the Rfam family "Bacterial small subunit ribosomal RNA", at positions 63 to 748 of the family's 1533-position model. Lineage: Bacteria; Bacillati; Bacillota; Clostridia; Lachnospirales; Lachnospiraceae. The record is from RNAcentral.